Molecule: long non-coding RNA, 499 nt
Organism: Rhipicephalus microplus (southern cattle tick)
Lineage: Eukaryota; Metazoa; Arthropoda; Arachnida; Ixodida; Ixodidae
Source: RefSeq, a predicted model, not a curated record
GCCUGGUCUGAAGAGUCAACAGACACCUUCUGGUGUGGACGGGUCAACUUCAAGCAUAUUUGGUCAUGGAUGUCACUGCAACUUUCGCACUGCCAAGCGACAAUGCAGGUAAAGAGAGCCUGGAGAGGAUGGCAGCAACACCUCAUCUAGCUGUCAUUGGAUAACCUGGUUAAUGAUGUGACCCUCUUAAGGGCCACUACAUGCGGCUGAUUGGAGAAGCAUGACUCUCAUUUGGUCAAGUGCUUCACCAACGUAGUAUCAUGGACAGAGGCCGCAACGGCACGCACAGGAGCUUCGCGAGAACUGUCAAACUGGUUUGCGACAAAAGGAGGCCAGAAACGUGCACAGCAGUCAUUGUCUCCGCAAGAAGGGGAAUCAUGAAGAGCCCGGCCAGAAGCGUUUUGGGAAAAGCAGCGAAGCAGGUGUCAGCCUGAAGAUCAAGCUGUGACUAGGAUGGAAAAUAAUAAACACAGAAGUCAUUUUCUGUCCUGCACUACUG